GGGUGAUUAGCUCAGUUGGUUAGAGCGCCACCUUUACACGGUGGAUGUCGGGGGUUCGAGUCCCUCAUCACCCACAA
RNAcentral lists this transfer RNA (77 nucleotides) under Bifidobacterium callimiconis. Its description in RNAcentral is "Bifidobacterium sp. 2028B tRNA-Val". It matches the Rfam family "tRNA". From Rfam's summary of the family: Transfer RNA (tRNA) molecules are approximately 80 nucleotides in length. Their secondary structure includes four short double-helical elements and three loops (D, anti-codon, and T loops). The record is from RNAcentral. Lineage: Bacteria; Bacillati; Actinomycetota; Actinomycetes; Bifidobacteriales; Bifidobacteriaceae.